This is a long non-coding RNA of Glycine soja, 1698 nucleotides long. RefSeq lists it as uncharacterized. The transcript has 2 exons. The record is from RefSeq and is a predicted model, not a curated record. Lineage: Eukaryota; Viridiplantae; Streptophyta; Magnoliopsida; Fabales; Fabaceae.
UAUCUAUACUUAAGAUGUUAAACCAUGGGGAUAUAUGCUAAAUUGUUUGUGUAUUGUACAGGCAUUAGUAUCUUUUAUCAGCGCGUAGGACAAUGAUUAAAAGUCGUGUUGACCCGCAUAUUCUGGCUUCUAAAAUCCUAAUGACAACUUAUGCGUAAAAAGUUGAGGAUCAACCAUAGAUGUAAAAAACAAAGCAUCUUUUGAUGGUAUUGUUUGGCAUGGCUUUGCCAAUUCCUAAUUAUACGUUAGUAGGAGCUUUGCACUGUAUACUUAUUGUCUCUUGGACUUGUCUCAGCAUUGCAACUGCAAAUGGAAUCACAGGGAACAUUCCAUAUGGACUAGGUAUCCUUUCUAAACUCACUUAUCUUGACUUAUCUUCUAAUGACAUAAAGGGAACUAUCUCACGUAGGUUUAUAGGUUUUCUUUUUCAGUUCUACUCGAUGUGAGAUUUCACCUCACAUUUAUACUCCAACAGCCGCAUCACCCCUUUCCCUUCUUGUUAUUCCUCUCCUCACAGACCAAAUAAUAUAGAUUUGGAUUUGGUAGUGGUAAUGAAGAUUUUCCUUCCUCCCACUCCUUUGCUUGCUCUUCUAUGCUCUGCUUAUGUUUUCCACCGCUGUUGUAAGGCUGGGAAUUGCAUGUCUAUUUCAAAAGAAACAAAGAAUGGUGACAUGUUUUCAAUAUGGAACUAUGAUGGUAAAAUUGCAUAGAAAGACAUAAUUGAAGCAACAGAGAAUUUUGACAUCAUAUACUGCAUAGGAGCUGGUGGUUAUGGCAGUGUCUACAAAGCACAGCUACCUAGUGGUAGAGUAGUGGCCUUGAAGAAACUUCAGAAUUUAUAAGCCACAGAAAUCCGCAGGAUUUUCAAGAAUGAGGUAAGAAUGUUGACAAAGAUAAGGCAUAGAAAUAUUGUGAAGCUCUAUGAAUUCUGCUUGCACAACAGAUGCAUGUUUCUGCUUUUGGAGUACAUGGAGAGGGGAAGCUUGUAUUGCAUUCUCCGCGAUGACAUUGAAGCUGUGGAGUUGGAUUGGACCAAGAGGGUCAACAUUGUGAAAGGCAUAGCACAUAGCUUAUCAUACCUUCACCAUGAUUGCAAACCAGCAAUUAUUCAUAGAGAUGUAACAACAAAAAAUGUUCUCUUGAAUUUAGAAAUGGAGGCUUGUCUCUCUGACUUUGGAAUUGCAAGACUUCUAAACUCUGGUUCCUCCAAUCGAACUGUACUUGAUGGCACUAAUUGAUAUAUUGCACCAGAACUUGCCUAUAGUGAUUGCGUGACUCAGAAAUGUGAUGUCUACAGCUUUGGAGUGGUUGCACUUGAAAUUAUCAUAUGAAAACAUCCUGGAGAACUUGUUUCCUCGUUAAGAUCUGCAUCCUCACAAGGAAUUCUCCUCAAAGAUAUAUUAGACCCCCGAUUAAUAUCCACCAUCAAUAAAAAAUCUGCUCAGAGUUUAGCUCUUAUAGCAACACUGGCCUUUGCAUGUCUUCAUUCUCAGCCAAGGCUUAGACCAACAAUGCAGGUAAUGUGUGAUAAACUUCUCACGGGAAAGCCCCGAUUAACCAUACCAUUUGAAGAAAUUUCAAUAAAGCAAAUUGUAAAUCAGGAAUUGUAACUGAUUUCUAGAACAUCAUGCUCUGAACAUAAACAAAAUGCAUGGAAAUUUUAAAAAAUAUAUUUGUUGUUUUCUGUCUUUACUUUUA